AGAAUAUUUGGAGUUUUCCUGAUCUUGUUGGAUGUGGCUCUGAUCUUUGCUGACCUAAUUUUCACUGAUAGCAAAGUUUAUAUUCCUUUGGAGUAUCGUUCUAUUUCUCUAGCUAUUGCUUUAUUUUUUCUCAUGGAUGUUCUUCUUCGAGUAUUUGUAGAAGUGGACACGUUUAUUUCGACUUCUACGACUUAUCAUUCUGAUAAGAGUUUUUCGUCUGGCUCAUCUAAAAAGACAACUUGGAAAGCUGAUAAGAAGGCUGGUAACAGGAAACAAAAGGUGAUACGAAAGGGAUGGAUUUGACCUAGACCUCACUUAUAUAGAACGUAUUGUCGCUAUGUCAUUUCCAUCUUCGGGAGGCCAGUCUUUCUAUCGGAAUCCAAUUGAAGUCGUACAGUUUCUAGACAAGAAACAUCCAAACCACUAUCGAGUCUACAAUCUAUGCAGAAAGAGCUUAUGAUCCUAAGCACUUCCAUAAUAGGGUCAGUAGAAUCAUGAUCGAUGAUCAUAAUGUCCCCACUCAGGGAGAUGGUAGCAUUCUCCAAGGAAGUGUUGGAGUGGAUGGCUCAAGAUUCUGAAAACAUCGUAGUGAUUCACUGUAAAGGAGGCAGGAAGAACCGGAACUAUGGUUUGUGCCUGCCUGAUUGCCAGUGAAAUAUUUUUAACUGCAGAAAGAUUGUACUAUUUUGGAGAACGGCGAACAGAUAAAACCAAUGGCACUAAAUAUCAGGGAGUAGAAACUCCUUCUCAAUAGAUAUGUUGGAUAUUUUGCACAAGUGAAACAUAGCUACAACUGGAAUCUCCCUCCAAGAAAAACACUGUUUAUAAAAAGAUUAGUUAUUUAUUCGAUUCGGCGAUGGAUAUGAUCUAAAAGUCCAAAUAGUAAUGAAGAAAAAGAUUGUCUUUUCCUGCACUUCCUUAAACAGUUGUCGUAUUUCAUGACACUGAAACAGACAGGGUAAUAAUUGAUGUGUUCAACUGUCCACCUCUGUAUGAUGAUGUGAAAGUGCAAGCUUCCUCUUGAUUUUCCUAAAUACUAUCACAACUACCCUUUUUUCUUCUGGUUUAACACAUCUUUAAUACAAAAUAACAGCUUUAUCUACAAAGAAAUGAAUUGGAUAAUCUUCAUAAACAAAAAACUGGAAAAUUUAUCAACCAGAAUAUGCAGUAGAGACAUAUUUUGAUGAGA
Molecule: long non-coding RNA, 1189 nt
Filed under: Homo sapiens (human)
Lineage: Eukaryota; Metazoa; Chordata; Mammalia; Primates; Hominidae
Description: non-protein coding lnc-CKAP2-4:1
Source: RNAcentral